Pezoporus occidentalis (night parrot) is the source of this 446-nucleotide long non-coding RNA. RefSeq lists it as uncharacterized. The record is from RefSeq and is a predicted model, not a curated record. The transcript is spliced from 3 exons. Lineage: Eukaryota; Metazoa; Chordata; Aves; Psittaciformes; Psittacidae.
GGGCUGUGGCCCCCUCAGGAAGGCGGGCUGGCAUGUUUGGAGGGAAAUAUGGGCUGCUUUGUGCUCGGAGUUAAGGUGUUCAGGGAUCUGUGUUUGGAUGUGCAGGGCAGUGGCUCAGGUGCCCUGUGUGAAUGGACCAGUGCCGCUGUCAACCUUAUAAAUUAACAGUUAAAGAUGAUCCGGAGGAAGAAUUAAUCCUUGUUAUCAGCUUCAUUAGGAAGAACUACUGCAAUGCAAAAUAUAAAUGUCUCAUGUGAAUGAACUCCACAGUGGCUACGGACACAUAAAUCACAUGAAGCUCAGGACAGCAACUCAAAAGGGCUGGUAGCAGGAAGAGUACAGAGGUAAUUGAGGAACUAUGGAAAUUCCACAUAGGAACUAGCACAUGCUGCUACACAGGCUCCAAAAAUCUUAGAUUGGUUCCAAGUGCUUUAGAGACUACAAGG